RNAcentral lists this ribosomal RNA (704 nucleotides) under Streptosporangium sp. Its description in RNAcentral is "bacterial SSU rRNA". It matches the Rfam family "Bacterial small subunit ribosomal RNA", at positions 90 to 811 of the family's 1533-position model. The record is from RNAcentral. Lineage: Bacteria; Bacillati; Actinomycetota; Actinomycetes; Streptosporangiales; Streptosporangiaceae.
CUCGAGCGGCGAACGGGUGAGUAACACGUGAGUAACCUGCCCCCGACUCUGGGAUAAGCCCGGGAAACUGGGUCUAAUACCGGAUACGACCACUUCCCGCAUGGGAUGGUGGUGGAAAGUCUUUUCGGUUGGGGAUGGACUCGCGGCCUAUCAGCUUGUUGGUGGGGUAACGGCCUACCAAGGCGACGACGGGUAGCCGGCCUGAGAGGGCGACCGGCCACACUGGGACUGAGACACGGCCCAGACUCCUACGGGAGGCAGCAGUGGGGAAUAUUGCGCAAUGGGCGAAAGCCUGACGCAGCGACGCCGCGUGGGGGAUGACGGCCUUCGGGUUGUAAACCUCUUUCAGCAGGGACGAAGUUGACGUGUACCUGCAGAAGAAGCGCCGGCUAACUACGUGCCAGCAGCCGCGGUAAUACGUAGGGCGCAAGCGUUGUCCGGAAUUAUUGGGCGUAAAGAGCUCGUAGGUGGCUUGUCACGUCGGGUGUGAAAGCUUGGGGCUUAACUCCAGGUCUGCAUUCGAUACGGGCUGGCUAGAGGUAGGUAGGGGAGAACGGAAUUCCUGGUGUAGCGGUGAAAUGCGCAGAUAUCAGGAGGAACACCGGUGGCGAAGGCGGUUCUCUGGGCCUUACCUGACGCUGAGGAGCGAAAGCGUGGGGAGCGAACAGGAUUAGAUACCCUGGUAGUCCACGCUGUAAACGUUG